AUCCUUUCGCAGCGGCAUUUUUCAUAGUCUAUGAGGUUUUACUGAGACGUGAUUAUUGCUAGUUGAAAACUUUACCCAAUACCCGCCCCGCCGUGACUUGAAAUAUAGUCAGCUCUGGCAAUUUUUGUCAGUCUCAUGGGAGA
Small nuclear RNA from Etheostoma spectabile (orangethroat darter), 143 nucleotides. RefSeq annotates it as U4 spliceosomal RNA. The record is from RefSeq and is a predicted model, not a curated record. The transcript has a single exon. NCBI's taxonomy places the organism in Eukaryota, Metazoa, Chordata, Actinopteri, Perciformes, Percidae.